AAGUCGUAACAAGGUUUCCGUAGGUGAACCUGCGGAAGGAUCAUUACUGAAAGGGGACUCCGGUCCCCGGGACAAGCCCCCGUCGAGCCCUUGGGCUCCCCGGGUGGUGACACCCCUUACCCUUUGUUUACCUUACCUCUGUUGCUUUGGCAAGGCCCCUGCCCGGGUGGUUCCAGGCUUGGGCUCUGCCAGAGGGCCCCAACUCGUGGAUAGUUCUUGUUUGUCUGAGUACGAUAUAAUCGUUUACAACUUUUAACAAUGGAUCUCUUGGCUCUG
Molecule: unclassified non-coding RNA, 276 nt
Filed under: Neobulgaria sp.
Lineage: Eukaryota; Fungi; Ascomycota; Leotiomycetes; Helotiales; Gelatinodiscaceae
Also listed under: 1 other name
Description: partial contains small subunit ribosomal RNA, internal transcribed spacer 1, and 5.8S ribosomal RNA
Rfam family: Eukaryotic small subunit ribosomal RNA (bases 1-46)
Source: RNAcentral